This 1737-nucleotide long non-coding RNA is filed under the name Bos taurus (domestic cattle). RNAcentral describes it as "long non-coding RNA NONBTAT018139". Lineage: Eukaryota; Metazoa; Chordata; Mammalia; Artiodactyla; Bovidae. The record is from RNAcentral.
AUUUUUAGUUACUCCAAAGAAAUAACACUUUUAAAUAGAAGCAAAAGGUUUAUAGUCUGCAAAUUGUGGAUUUAUCAAUUACCUCAGCAGGUAUCCUGCCAUGUAACUAUUAAUGAUUAGUUUUAAUAAGCCAGUAGUCUUAGGUUUAUUGGACUAUGCUCUUGGGUUGUGGCCUACCAUCCAUUAUUCUCUUAGUAUUUAAAAUGGAGUAAAUGCUGUGGCCCCAUCUCCCUUGGCCUUUUAAAAUCCCUUAUCCAUGCCCACUAAUAUACAACAUAUGAAGUAUAAAAAAUGCCAUUUCUUGAGGUCAGCACUGCUUAUUUGCAUACUCAACAUUGGAUCAGUGAGUAGUUUUAUAGUAGUCUACCCUCCCCAACUUCCCUAAUUCAAACAAUCAGGUUCUUAAGUCAUGCCACGAAUUCUUAACUCAUACUGUCUAUAUUAAUAAUCUGCUUGAGGUGAUCCAAGGUGUUAGGUGAAUCACAACUUGAUCAUCAUAUACCAGACCUGGAUGUUUAUUUCCCACAGUUACCUUCUCCUUGAUAAAGCAAUAACACUGCUUUAAGUCUGUUGCCUAAUAGCAUGUCAUAAUCCUCUCGUGGAUGGUGAUUUUAUAGGAAAGUUUGUAUGCAUAUCACCCAAUCUAUCUUUUAAAAAUUAAGGAAUUUAAAUGUAUGCUGGACCUAAUGACAAUAUAUUGUGGCAUUUUAUUUUAAAAAUUGGGGAAAGUUGCAUAUUUUUUUAAAAGUAGGCAUUUGAGUAAAAAAAUCGAAGGUACUUUUUUAAGAAAAUUUAUAUGCCACAGUUUACAUAGACAUUUCAGAUUUCAACAUAUACUCUUGAUAUAAUGGUUUCUUUUACUUGGUCAAAAUGCACGUAUAGUAUUUCUUCCAUCUUAGUUCCUUGUGUUUGCCUUUGUGGUCUUUUAUAUAUUUUUAUUGUAUCUGAGAAAGAAAAUUAUCUUCAAAAAUAAGUCAAUUUGGAAAUAUUUAUUAUAAUCAAACUACAAAAUGUACAAAAUUAAGUUUAGCCCUUUUCUAGCAAGUGAUCUUUAAAGUUAAAAAUGCUGUUCUUUUAAAUUCUCCAGAUUUGUAUGUGGGAGGGCACUGGAAUGAUCUUGCAAGUGCCACUGCAAUAUUCCCUUUCAAGUGUGGCCUAAAUUUCAAUCUUAAGGACGAAAUGCAUGUCUGCUCCUGGUCUGAAAAUGUAGGCAUUAAUUAUAUUUUAAAUCACAGUGAAACAUGUAUAUAAGCCUAUAACAAGAUUUGUGCAAUUUGAAAGCCUUUUGAUUUUCUUUGUAGACGUACCUACACACGAAAGGGUUAAACUCACAGCCUUACUAGUUCCUUGUUUCCCCUCAUUAUUGUUCCCCUCUUCUCUCUCCUCAUUAUUAUUACUAAUACUACAGUUAAUUUUUUUUGCACAUAGUUAACUACCCUUCAAUAUGAUUCUGAAAGAGAAAGUGCUGUUUCUGUGGUAUUGUAUUCUCUAAAUAAUCAUAUUUAAUUUUUUUGAAACAAGGUUGCAGUUUCUAAUUGUUCUAUUCCUGUGUUUUUUGCUGGUGUGUAAUAAAAGCAAGGUUUUCUUUUCAUGGUUAUUUAAUACAUUAGCUGCCUGUAAAUAUUUCUUGUUAUAAUGCUCUGGAAUGUGUUGUAGAAGUUGUAUUAGAUUAGUUUAAAACCUUGUUUGAAAGCCACGUUGUUUUGGUUAUUUCUAUUAAAUUAGAAAAUUGAAAAA